AGGUGUGCUAAUACCGGAUACGCUGAGAAAUCAGGAAAGGUGGCCUCUUCAUGAAAGCUACUGUAUCAGGAGGAGCUUGCGUACCAUUAGCUAGUUGGUGGGGUAAUGGCCUACCAAGGCAACGAUGGUUAGCGGGUCUGAGAGGAUGAUCCGCCACACUGGAACUGGAACACGGACCAGACUCCUACGGGAGGCAGCAGUGAGGAAUAUUGCGCAAUGGGGGCAACCCUGACGCAGCGACGCCGCGUGGAUGAUGAAGGCCUUCGGGUCGUAAAAUCCUGUCAGAUGGAAAGAAAUGUCAUAUGCCUAAUAUGUGUAUGAUUUGACGGUACCAUCAAAGGAAGCACCGGCUAACUCCGUGCCAGCAGCCGCGGUAAUACGGAGGGUGCAAGCGUUGUUCGGAAUUACUGGGCGUAAAGCGCGCGUAGGCGGCUUUUUAAGUCAGAUGUGAAAGUCCACGGCUCAACCGUGGAAGUGCAUUUGAUACUGGGAAGCUUGAGUACUGGAGGGGAUGGUGGAAUUCCCGG
This 527-nucleotide ribosomal RNA is filed under the name Desulfobulbaceae bacterium PR5_C04. RNAcentral describes it as "bacterial SSU rRNA". It matches the Rfam family "Bacterial small subunit ribosomal RNA", at positions 156 to 673 of the family's 1533-position model. The record is from RNAcentral. Lineage: Bacteria; Pseudomonadati; Thermodesulfobacteriota; Desulfobulbia; Desulfobulbales; Desulfobulbaceae. RNAcentral also lists the same sequence under 1 other name.